GUGGCAUAAAGCCAUUGAUGUAGUUCAAGAAAAAUAGCGAUUUUGUUGGUAUACCAAUAGAAAAUUCCAAGAACAAUGGUAAAAUAAUGUUUCCAGGACAAAAUUGCUAGUUUAAGAAGAGGGCAGAUAUACAAAUGCUUUAUUGAAAGCUUCAACCCUUAUAGAAAAAUAAGUACAAAUUACACUACUAUUAAAGUUUUAAAUGCACUUAUGAUAGUAAAGAUAAUUAUUAUGAUCAGAAGUAAAGCAGAAAGAACAAUUGACAGAAUCCCUUUGUCAGCUGGGCAUGGUGGCUCACACCUGUAAUUCCAGCACUUUGGGAGGCCGAGGCAGGUGGAUCACCUGAGGUGAGGAGUUCAAAACUAGCCUGGCCAACAUGGUGAAACCCCGUCUCUACUAAAAAUAAAAAAAAUUAGCCGGGCAUGGUGGCAUGCACCUGUAAUCCCAGUUACUCAGGAGGCUGAGGCAGGAGAAUCGCUUGAACCCAGGAGGUGGAGGUUGCAGGGAACUGAGAUUACACCACUGCACUCCAGCCUACAGAGUAAGACUCUGUCUCAGAAAAUAAAAGAAAAAAAAGAAUCUCUUUGUCAACCGAUAAGGUUGGAUAUUGUAUCAGCAGCAUAUAAUAUGGAAGAACAAUUACUGUCUGGAGAGUGCUAGCGGAUAUUUCACUCUAUGGUUAAGUGAAAUUUAUUUCAGUAUAUGUGAGGGACAUAAAAGAAGGGAGAAGUGUAUGAGGUUGCUUGUUUUGUUUAUACUGAAAUACCAAGCUUCAGAGAAAGUUUUUUUCCAUUGACAUGACAAUGACUAUAAAUGUUAUCAUGGAGAUUGGAAAAGGCUCAUUGGUUUAGUACCCACAGAAUUUUAUGUGUAGCAGGGAAGAGCAUCUCAAAGUUAAUCAGAGAAUCCACACAUUGAUUUCGUCACAGAAAAGAGUAGGUGGUUGAUUUAAUGUUCAGGAAAAUUGAAAAAAAUUGCAAAUAUAACUAAAUGAUGACCACUGAAAUUGCAUACUUUCAGAAAUAUAUAGAGAAAUGAGUAGGAAGGAAAAGUCUGCUUUUCUGGGGAAGGAUGCUCACACACAUUUUAAAAAAGGAUUUGACUCUUUCCUAGAGACUGAUGACUUUCUGUACUUAUCAGAGACAGAAAUCAAUGACAUAUUACUAGGCAUAUUUAAAAAUCAUGUCGAACAUCUAUGACAGAACAUGAAAAGGGUAGAUUAUAGAAGAAAGCUGUGGCCAGUGCUGUUAAUUGCCUACCCAAUAGUUAUUCUUUCCUUUCCCCUCACUUAUAGAGCCAUCAUUUGUUCAGGGCAGCCCCAGGAGAUGCAUAGCAACUGUUGGAGGUGGAAGGACAUACACAGAUUGUAUACAACAAAAUUGUCCUAACCAUUUGCCCUUGUCCUGGAUCUAAGAUAAUGAUAGUCAUUCCAUUCCCCUUUGCUUGCAGAUAGCGGUGGCCAUGUGACACUGCUCUGGCAAUGAGACAUAGGGUGAGGUAUUUGGGGCCUCUGGGAAAGCCUAAGGAUGAAAAGCUAAUGUACUGAGGAUAAUAGAAGAAAGAUAUAGAGUCUGCAUUCUUGAUAAUACCCCUGAGCCACUGAACCAAGCCAGAACAACCUCUGGAAGAACUGCUUGUUAUAUGAGAAAAAUAAACCACUCUUUGUUUCAGCCAGCCUUACUGAGUAUUUAUUACUUGCAGCCAAAACCCUUUUUUAACAGAUACAUAAGUGUACCAAUUAUUUAGGAGGAAAAUACUUGCCCAACUGUCUAAAUAGAGCAGCUAUUAUCUAUUAAUAUUGAUGUUGUUACUCCCAGAUUUUUCUGUAUGUGUCAUGGUACGUAAAAUUAGGUUCAUCCCAUAUCGACAUACAGUGGGCAGCUGGGGAGCUGAGACUUCUAAUAGUGUAUCUGGCAUUGCUAUGUUGUAAGUGGAGAAAGCAAGUCAAUAUGAAGUAAUUUUGUCAUAAGGUCAGAAUCAUUUGAGUAAUCUUCCUUUUUUAUUAUAAGUAAGGCAGGAUAUUUACAUUGCUCUACCCAAAGUUUGUAACAACACAUUUUUUUCUGUCUUAGGAUGUCUCUCCAUCCUGACAAUUCCAGAAUGCAGAGCAUGUGGAGUGAGUGUACUGCUUUGCUAAGAGUUCCAGACAUUCUCUGACAGGGGAGUUAUCAAGGCCCCAACUUUUUUUCCUGAGACUCAAGUUAGGGAAAUCUGUUGGGAUGGACUGAGGUAGCUCAGACCAAAGCCCAGUUGUAAGGAAAGGUAACAAAGCCAGUGGAAUAAACUGACUAGAUGCUUAAAAUUGGCAGAAGCAAUGCCUGAGGCCAGAAUUAAGAAGAAAACAAAGGGGGAUGGUGGUAGAACCUGACCUUCCCAGUCCUCCUGGGAGCUCAUGUAUACCUGGGGCAAUAGCUGUGUAAAUGAAUCAAAAUUUCUGUAACCUUGAGAACCCUGGCCAGGUUGGUGUGGAGCCAUUUUGAUCUGAAAAAACACUAAAGAAUGAGUAUUUCUUCUCAAGAACGAACACCACAAAGGUAGGAGUCUUACAAAGGGAAUCUACCGAGUGACUCCCUUUGUGGAUUGUUAAAAUGCUUUUCUAUCCAUAUAGGCCUAAAGUUUUUGAUAUAAGUUCAUCUGCUAGCUAGUUAUAAGACUUUGGAUAAUUUGAUGAACUACUCUGGGUCUCUUUUUCUUCAAGCGUAAAAUGCUGACUCACUAAAGUUUCUCCUGAAGUUUUGAAAUGAGGAAUGAGAUACAUUUAAUGUAUGAUUUUUUUUAUUGAAAAGUCUAAAAUACAACAGUAAGAUUGAGCUGUUAAUUUGGUUAGCAUACACUAAGUUGCCAUUUAGGACUGAAUGGCACAGAACUGCAAAUGCCUACAUUUAAUAUUUUUAAAAGUUCACAGCAUAAACUAGUGUUUAAAUUUUGCUUUUGUUUGGUGAGAAAUAGCUUGAUUUGACAUAUUCCAUACAGCCUAUCUUUUAAAAGUAUUUACUUUUUUUUUUUAAAGAAGAAUCUUUCCUGGUCGUAGAUUUAUGGUUAUCAAUUAAAUGUUAUAGCACAGUUUGUAUCUCAUUUCAUUCAUUCCUGUACACACUCCCUCUAGUGGCUCAAGCUACUUAUUUACUGAACAUUCCAGAGCCACUUAGUUUCUAGCUGUCCUGUACUGAUGCUUAAAUUUGUUCUCUCAUAGCCUUUCCUCAUCUAUUCAGAACCUCAUCUAUUCAGAACCUCAUCUACUCAGAAUUUAAAAACAUUAUUUAAGAAGAGACAAGGAAAAAAAGAUGGAGGGAUGAUUUUUGUGCCAUUUCAGGGUGACAGAAAAGGAAACAAGGAGAGCUGGAAUUGACCUGGAUCCUUGUGGGAAAUACUUCAGUGAUGGAUGGAAGCAGAGGGAGAAAGGACCAAAAUGAAGCCAGGAGGGACAAGAUGGCUGGAAUGUUUGGUUCUGAGGAUUCAUGAUUGUCCUUAACUCACACGGACUGAACUCUCGCUUGCCUGUCUUCCUGGGGCUUGUGUAAGAACAUCCUGCAGAAAAGUAUUAACAACGCGAGUGAUCUUCACUGUGUUUAACGAUUCAUUGAUUGUAAAAGAUGUUUUACCUGGGAUAACAAUGAGUGUGUAUUCCUGGAGCCUAAACUCACUGACCUGGAAGGGGGCCCCGAGAAGUGUGCUAAGUGGACAAAGGAAGCCUGGCUAGAGUUUAUAGUUUUCUAACUAGAUAAUUGAGUGAACUAAAAGGUCUUUUAUUAUCCUUAUGUGGAUUACGUACUUUGCAGGAUAUGCAUAGUCAUUAUUAAAACCAUGUGUACUCCUGUCUCACUUCUGAGCACCUUCUCUGAAAUCAGUCCAUAUAUGCUCAGGAAUGCAAACCACACUCAUUUCAGAGUCAGUGUCAACAAACAUAAUUAAGGAGGCAAAUUUACUUCAUAAGUUUUCUAAUGCCUUCUGCAUUAAAUAGAAAUGACUUUUGGCUGCUCCCAUCUAUUCAUGUGUAUAAUUGUUAAGUUCAGAUCUGAUUUUCCUGGAAGAACAAGUUUGAAUCUCAACAGGCUUGAUCUAGUCUCCCAUCUCCAUGUUCCCCAUAGUGACAGGUAAUUCAUGGAAAUUACUGUCUCAGCAUUUUAAAUAAACCUCCUUUAAGCUGAAAUCAAGAUGAUCUCAUAUAGAAAAGAGUGUAGGUAAAACUCAUAUUUAAGAAAUGGUACAGAGUGAGCAGAAAUUCUCACAGAAUUUUUGAGUCAGAAAUAUUUUUGUUAUACGGGAAAAAGGGACUUGCAGUUGUGCUCUUGAUUAUAAAAAGAAAGGAAAUCAAAUAGCUUUGAAAUGUUCCAUUAAAACCUUAUUUUAAUAUAUUCUUGCCACAAUGUAAGGACCUAUGUAAACUAAGUAAAAUUUCAUGACUCACACUGAGUUGCAUUUUGUAUCAUUUUCUUGUCUUCAUUGCUAUUUCUUUUCUUUUCUUUUUUUUUUUUUUUUCUCGAGACAGAGUCUCACUUUGUUGCCAGGCUGGAGUGCAGUAGCGUGAUCUCAGCUGACUGCAAUCUCCACCUCCCAGGUUCAAG
This 4565-nucleotide long non-coding RNA is filed under the name Homo sapiens (human). Its description in RNAcentral is "HSALNT0093673". The record is from RNAcentral. Lineage: Eukaryota; Metazoa; Chordata; Mammalia; Primates; Hominidae.